This 1426-nucleotide long non-coding RNA is filed under the name Neodiprion lecontei (redheaded pine sawfly). RNAcentral describes it as "uncharacterized LOC124293282". Lineage: Eukaryota; Metazoa; Arthropoda; Insecta; Hymenoptera; Diprionidae. The record is from RNAcentral.
CCUUUGCCAUGCUAUUUCAGAGGACAUUCGCGCGAUCUUACUCAGUGUACAGUCGACAAUAGGCUCAUAAUAUGCCUAUUCCCAGUCGACUUGACAUAGUUGACUGAAAAUUUCUUUCGAUAUUAAGUCAACUAACAGCCAACGGUGUGCUACCUGGGACAUGAGUGAUCGGCCUGGUCCCAAGGAACAAUAGAAUCCCCGAAUUCGUGACGUACCUACACAGAAAAGUUGCUCCGAGACAAUCGGUAAUGAUCUUCUCUACUGGGGAGUUAUACUUCAACUGAAACAACCAAAUGUAGGAUGAAGAACUGAAAAGGAUUGGUUCUUUCGUAGCCGGUACUUCCUAAUUAAGACCCGGGUGCCGCGUUGAGCUGAUAGGGAUGGGUCACGUGUGGAUGCGCCGAUUACGCGGCUUUAAGAACGCUUCAAGUAACGCAUACAAACUGCAAGAUUAUUACGCAGGCAAAGCUAAGAUAGAUCAUACAUACGAUAAGGACAAAGAUUACGUUAAAUCAGAAUUAUUUUAUUUUGCCGUGACUUGAACCGGGGAUCAAACGAUUGUAAAAUUCAUCUAAAAUCUGAAAUUAUUCUGGAUUACUGAAAAAUUUUCCCUCGAUAUCCAAUAAUUUCAUCAAUUUUAUUCAAAGCCAUUAUCAUUCAACGAACAUUCUUUUCAGGCGAAACUACCCACCUGGUGAUGGAUACCCGUUAUAUCGAUCACGCUGAUAAGAUCGCAUCGUAAAAGAAAAUUCAAGCACGUAAUUUUAGUUAGUCUACACGUUAUGGUCUUCCUUGGGUUGGCCAAGUGAAAGGGAGUCACCCACUCACAGCCCCUUAAUAACGGCAAAGAGGGCAUAUUUUUAAGAGGAUUGGUCUUUUUCUUCUUGCUUGUGAAACGAUCAACCUUUUUUCUAACGUUGUACGAUGUAUUUGUGAAUCUAGAAAACGGAUCGUAUUCCGACUGCAUGUUGUCGUUUCAGAGUUGAGUUCGUGUGAACAGGCUCUUCAGGCCGAGAAAUGCAGGACGGUGAAUAGAAAGUUUUCCCAAUGGAUGGGUAUACAAAUACCAGAAUAUCCUCGGGUUUCUUGGUUUACCGUCACCUUGUAAACAGCGGAUGCCAUUAUACCUGAAUGUAGCCAAUAUGCUCACCAGAUGUGCCCUGCCGUAAAUUGAAACCUCAAUGACAAUGAAAAUUGUUUCAAAGCCUUCCCAACCACUGACGUCACAACCGAAGUGGAACGAAUAAUCUUUUAGCCCUACACUUAUUCUAUGAAAGGAAAAUGCUGAGUUGCCAGGAAACAACUCAGCAUUGUAUGAGACAUAGUCACUGCAGUGUGAGGAUUUGAGAUACAUUCAGCUGUACUUUUCGAAAAAUAAGUGUAAAUUAUCAACAAUUCUAUCGAAAAUAAAUUAUAUUAUAAACAA